UUGGACUCAACGCCGGGCAGCUCACCGGAUAAGACAGCUGGAUGAUAGCCGGGCUGAAGACUCUGCUUGACUAGCUGAGAGGAGGUGCAUGGCCGUCGUCAGUUCGUACUGUGAAGCAUCCUGUUAAGUCAGGCAACGAGCGAGACCCACGCCAACAGUUGCCAGCAUGUCCUCCGGGAUGAUGGGGACACUGUUGGGACCGCCUCUGCUAAAGAGGAGGAAGGAAUGGGCAACGGUAGGUCAGCAUGCCCCGAAUUAUCCGGGCUACACGCAGGCUACAAUGGUCAGGACAAUGGGUAUCGACACCGAGAGGUGGAGGCAAUCUCCUAAACCUGUCCUUAGUUCGGAUUGUGGGCUGCAACUCGCCCACAUGAAGCUGGAAUCCGUAGUAAUCGCGUUUCAAAAUAGCGCGGUGAAUAUGUCCCUGCUCCUU
Molecule: ribosomal RNA, 433 nt
Filed under: uncultured Methanolinea sp.
Lineage: Archaea; Methanobacteriati; Methanobacteriota; Methanomicrobia; Methanomicrobiales; Methanoregulaceae
Description: bacterial SSU rRNA
Rfam family: Archaeal small subunit ribosomal RNA
Source: RNAcentral